Molecule: non-coding RNA, 1629 nt
Organism: Oryza sativa Japonica Group (Japanese rice)
Lineage: Eukaryota; Viridiplantae; Streptophyta; Magnoliopsida; Poales; Poaceae
Source: RefSeq, a predicted model, not a curated record
AGAAGAUCUACAUCACUCUUGAGCUGCCCCUAAUCCCCACACACGCGUGCCGCCGCUGGUGAUCGCUGGACGUCGCCUCCAUCACCCCCUCUGCCAGCGACCGACAUCCUUGACUCGCCGUCACUCCCAGCCUUUGCCGCCCAGGAUACGAUGUGCAAACAGGCAGCAAAACCAUGGCAAUCUAGAGAACAGGUUGGCAAUUUGGCAUAUUCAUGUGAGAAUACGAUGUGCUACGGAGCUAAGGAUGGAAGGAGACCUCUCCAAGCAGAUUUUUUUUUUGUUUCUCCAUGCUUCUUUUGCCUGCAAGUCUGUAACCAAACUACUCCUCUUUCAACUCACGGUCUAGCAUCCGCUCAAUCUGUAUAGAAUGUGUCUUAACUAUCUAAGCUCAAUAAUUAAUUGAGAGCAAUAUUUAGUUCUAUUUAGUUAUUGAAUCCUUAGUGCCUCCUCCAUCCUCCCUGUCUCUCUCUCCUCUUAACUGUUUGUAAUGCUCUGGAUUUUGGUGGUGGCAGGAGGAUUUGGUCUGGUCUGAAUAUGUUUCCAGUCUAAACCAAGUCUAAAUCAGUAGUAGACUAUCACUGUUGUUGAUUUGAGAGUAUUUAUAUUUGUUGUUGAUUUCCUUUUAUAUAAUUAACUUGAAAUUGAAAUUGCAUUCAGGUCACAAAUCUAGGUUCACUAAACCCAAAGGCUUUUGUAGCAAUGGGAUGGCUGGUGCUAGUGGUUACUUGGGCAGCUAUGGGGGUGAUGGUGGGUAUGGCAGUACACCAGGAGCCUAGGAAGAAAAUACAUGGUCAAUAGGUAAGAUAUAUGGUAAGUUCAAUUCCCACACCCCUCUAAUCGUUAUGCAAUUGCUGGUUGUAAAUUGAUUGGUUUAUGCCUAUUCGUUGCGGAGUUCAAUUAUGUUUAGUUUGUGUUUAAUAUUGAUAUUGAUGUGUGAGUGCUUAUGAAUUGUUGUGUAAACCGUGUGAAAUCUAUAUUGCCAGUGAGGUUUGUUGGCCCAAUUUGGUGGUUUGGUCUGAAAAUGCUUCUAGUCUAAACCAAGUCUAAAUCAGUAGUAGACUGUCACUGUUGUUGAUUUGAGAGUAUUUAUAUUUGCUGUUGAUUUCCUUUUAUGUAAUUAACUUGAAAUUGAAAUUGCAUUCAGGGUUGAGUUCAUUGAUAACCUGGAAUCGACAUUGAUUGGAGGUGCCUUGACAUCCUCGACGAAGAGCCUUGCGAUCUUCAAUUCUAUUAUUUCUAUUGUUUGUAAUUGAAUUUGUGUAUUUUAGCCUGCGAAAAAAUCUGUACAAUCACGUUAGUGGGGUGCGCUAAAAAUAGCGAAAAGAAAACAGGGAUAGAAACUGACUCGGGAUAGGCCUUGUAGCGCUAACCGGGAUAGAAUCUGACUCGGGAUAGGUCUUGUAGCGCUAAAAAUAGCGAAAAAAAACAGGGAUAUAAUCUGACUCAACAAAUCAAAAUUGGUGUGUAUGGGCUUAUACGUGGGCUGAAUUCUGGAUGAAUCAGAACCGGUGUGAGUAUGGGCUUGUAGAUGUAGAAUACUGCACAAAUUAGAUUAGAUUAGAAUUGGUGUAUGGGCUUGUAGAUGGACAGUAGAUGGACAUAGAAUACUGAAACCAGUUUGGGCUUGUG